This 353-nucleotide unclassified non-coding RNA is filed under the name soil metagenome. Its description in RNAcentral is "partial contains 5.8S ribosomal RNA, internal transcribed spacer 2, and large subunit ribosomal RNA". The stretch from base 1 to 120 matches the Rfam family "5.8S ribosomal RNA", at positions 35 to 154 of the family's 154-position model. The record is from RNAcentral.
GUUGAAGAACGUAGCGAAAUGCGAUAAGUAAUGUGAAUUGCAGAAUUCAGUGAAUCAUCGAAUCUUUGAACGCACAUUGCGCCCGCCAGUAUUCUGGCGGGCAUGCCUGUUCGAGCGUCAUUACAACCCUCAGGCCCCCGGGCCUGGCGUUGGGGAUCGGCGGAAGCCCCCUGCGGGCACAACGCCGUCCCCCAAAUACAGUGGCGGUCCCGCCGCAGCUUCCAUUGCGUAGUAGCUAACACCUCGCAACUGGAGAGCGGCGCGGCCACGCCGUAAAACACCCAACUUCUGAAUGUUGACCUCGAAUCAGGUAGGAAUACCCGCUGAACUUAAGCAUAUCAAUAAGCGGAGGA